UACACACUUGGAUAUGUAAAAGGAUGCGUGGGUUUUUCUGAUUACUCGAGAAUGUGUAAUGAAUAGUAAAAAAAAGUAGGAAAUUGUCUAAUUUUAGUAAUUUCGCACAUGACCUUUUUAUUGACAUCAAUGAUGAGUAUGCAUGUCUGAAAUUUGUUUACGGAAUUCAAAACGUAUAUAAAUAAUUGUUCAACUUUCUUAGGACAUAACUUCAACGGCAAUCAAGCUACACUACUUUUACUAAACUAAGACUUGUGUUUGUAACUACCGUCAAGAUGAAAGUAGCAUUUACUGUAUGUUGUCUCUUUGCUGUUGUUUACUAUUGCCAUGGAGCUUGUUGGGUAAUACCUCCUACAUCAGGUCGGAAUAACGUGUAUGAAACAUGUUUCUUUGCUGGUGAAAUAAUGUAUCCAGGUUCUACAAUUACAAGGAACUGUGUGAGUUGUUACUGUGGACAUUCAAGUGGCGGAUAUCUCAAAUGUUGCUCAGUCGGAAAUAAAGUUAAAAAAAUCCCUGACGACUGUAAAAAGAUAGUAUCUCCCGAUGGUUGCUACGAACACGUUGUUAAAGUAUCAGACGAAAGCAGCAUUUGUGACCAUGGUGUCGCUAUGGUAGGACGAUGAUGAAGACCUAUGAUGAUGAAAUCCAAACUUCUCAGGGAUAACAUUGGAAACAAGUAGCCGAGCCGAGUUAUCGGUGACGCGAAUUUGGCCAGUGGUGUCGUUUCCAGUAAAUCUUUUUUCUACAAAUAUAUUUAUUCGUACACAUA
Molecule: long non-coding RNA, 769 nt
Organism: Mytilus californianus (California mussel)
Lineage: Eukaryota; Metazoa; Mollusca; Bivalvia; Mytilida; Mytilidae
Exons: 3
Source: RefSeq, a predicted model, not a curated record